GUGGGGAAUAUUGGACAAUGGGCGCAAGCCUGAUCCAGCCAUGCCGCGUGAGUGAUGAAGGCCCUAGGGUUGUAAAGCUCUUUCAACGGUGAAGAUAAUGACGGUAACCGUAGAAGAAGCCCCGGCUAACUUCGUGCCAGCAGCCGCGGUAAUACGAAGGGGGCUAGCGUUGUUCGGAAUUACUGGGCGUAAAGCGCACGUAGGCGGAUCGAUCAGUUAGGGGUGAAAUGCCGGGGCUCAACCCCGGAACUGCCUCUAAUACUGUCGAUCUCGAGUUCGAGAGAGGUGAGUGGAAUUCCGAGUGUAGAGGUGAAAUUCGUAGAUAUUCGGAGGAACACCAGUGGCGAAGGCGGCUCACUGGCUCGAUACUGACGCUGAGGUGCGAAAGCGUGGGGAGCAAACAGGAUUAGAUACCCGUGUAGUCC
Molecule: ribosomal RNA, 425 nt
Filed under: uncultured bacterium
Lineage: Bacteria
Description: partial 16S ribosomal RNA
Rfam family: Bacterial small subunit ribosomal RNA
Source: RNAcentral